AGGACGAACGCUGGCGGCGUGCCUAACACAUGCAAGUCGAACGCGCUCCAUUCGGUAGCAAUACUGAUGAAGAGCGAGUGGCGAACGGGUGAGUAGCACGUGAGCAACCUGCCCCGAAGACUGGGACAACACCGGGAAACCGGUGCUAAUACCGGAUAUCCCUAUCGGAUCGCAUGAUCUGAUAAGGAAAUGUUUUUCGCUUCGGGAGGGGCUCGCGGCCUAUCAGCUAGUUGGUGGGGUAAUGGCCUACCAAGGCAUCGACGGGUAGCUGGUCUGAGAGGACGAUCAGCCACACUGGGACUGAGCACGGCCCAGACUCCUACGGGAGGCAGCGAGUGGGGAAUCUUGCGCAAUGGGCGAAAGCCUGACGCAGCAACGCCGCGUGGAGGACGAAGGCUUUCUGAGUUGUAAACUCCUUUCAGCAGGGACGAUUGGUGACGGUACCUGCAGAAGAGCACGGCCAACUACGUGCCAGCAGCCG
This 481-nucleotide ribosomal RNA is filed under the name uncultured bacterium. RNAcentral's name for it is "SSU rRNA". It matches the Rfam family "Bacterial small subunit ribosomal RNA", at positions 26 to 517 of the family's 1533-position model. The record is from RNAcentral.